RNAcentral lists this ribosomal RNA (253 nucleotides) under uncultured bacterium. Its description in RNAcentral is "partial 16S ribosomal RNA". It matches the Rfam family "Bacterial small subunit ribosomal RNA", at positions 524 to 776 of the family's 1533-position model. The record is from RNAcentral.
UACGUAGGGGGCGAGCGUUAUCCGGAUUCACUGGGCGUAAAGGGAGCGCAGGCGGCACGACAAGUCCGGUGUGAAAGCCCGGGGCCCAACCCCGGGACUGCACUGGAAACUGCCGGGCUGGAGUGUCGGAGGGGCAGGCGGAAUUCCUAGUGUAGCGGUGAAAUGCGUAGAUAUUAGGAGGAACACCGGUGGCGAAGGCGGCCUGCUGGGCGACGACUGACGCUGAGGCUCGAAAGCGUGGGGAGCAAACAGG